Molecule: ribosomal RNA, 253 nt
Filed under: uncultured bacterium
Lineage: Bacteria
Description: partial 16S ribosomal RNA
Rfam family: Bacterial small subunit ribosomal RNA
Source: RNAcentral
UACGAAGGGGGCUAGCGUUGCUCGGAAUCACUGGGCGUAAAGCGCACGUAGGCGGCUUUUUAAGUCAGGGGUGAAAUCCUGGAGCUCAACUCCAGAACUGCCUUUGAUACUGGGAAGCUUGAGUCCGGGAGAGGUGAGUGGAACUCCGAGUGUAGAGGUGAAAUUCGUAGAUAUUCGGAAGAACACCAGUGGCGAAGGCGGCUCACUGGCCCGGUACUGACGCUGAGGUGCGAAAGCGUGGGGAGCAAACAGG